GGAUAUAUGGAUUUUAUGAUGAAUGCAAGCGGCGGUUUAAUGUGAGGCUUUGGAAAUUCUUUACUGACUGUUUCAACUAUCUUCCUGUUGCGGCUCUAGUAGAUGAUAAAAUAUUGUGCAUGCAUGGUGGUCUUUCCCCUGAUUUGACAAAUUUGGAUCAAAUUUCAAAUUAGAAAUUUACCUNNNNNNNNNNCGACCAACUGCAGUUCCAGACACUGGUUUACUAUGUGAUUUGCUCUGGUCAGAUCCUGGUAGAGAUGUUAAAGGUUGGGGAAUGAAUGACAGAGGAGUUUC
This 294-nucleotide unclassified non-coding RNA is filed under the name Hevea brasiliensis (rubber tree). Lineage: Eukaryota; Viridiplantae; Streptophyta; Magnoliopsida; Malpighiales; Euphorbiaceae. The record is from RNAcentral.